GAGGGGAUGUGAUGGGUUGGGGUUUCGUGGUAGGGCGGGGGUGCAGAGAGGGGCCCAGAGCUUGGGUGGGGCGUGGGUGGCGGGACGGAAGUGGGGGCAAGGACCGAAUCUCCCAGUGCCCCUCCUUUCUGUCCCUAAGCGCUCCCUCCCCAGGGGCUACAGCAGAGCCCUGACUAGCAGAUGAAACAAUGUGACGGUUCAGCUCCUCAUCCGCCCUCCCCCCGCCCCCUGCGUGAUGGUUGGUAGUGAGGCCAAAGUGCUAACCCAGAGUACUGAACGCCCCCCUUCUCUCCCUGCCCCACGCCUGGGCCUACAUGGAGUGGGAAUGAAGGGAGACCCUGGGACGUGCCCGCGCGGAACACCUCUGCCCUGCUGGGAGCUGCCAGAGGAGGAGACACAAGUGCCUGACCCCUCGCUGCAGGCCCUCGUCAGGCUCCGCCCUCUCGACGUCACCGAGCCUGCGCCGAUUGGCCGACUGAACUGUCACUCCGGACACUUCCUCCUGGGCCGCAGCCGCCGAAUUAAACUUUGGAGUGGGAAAAAGAGCCACCGGCGCCCGGCGCCGGACGACCCUCCCUUCCCUCCCACCCCCCGCCACCCCACUGCCGCCGGGUCCCACCAUCCUCGAGUUCCCUCAACCUGCCAGGAUUCUCUUCUCGGAUCCCCGGGAUCCCCGCGCUCCUACCACCAGCUAACGAGAGACCUCGGAUCCAGGGACCUGAGCCUCCCUGCUCAGGCUCCUGCAGCCGGAUCCCGGGUGGGCGCCGGGCGGCGGGUCCUGGGGCUCGCCCUAUGGCCGCCGCCCCCUCCCAUCUCGCUGGGCUCCCGGGCUCUCCCGGGCCGGGGUCUCCUCCGCCCUCUGGCAGCUUGGAGCUGCAGGCGCCGCCACCGCUGCUGCCCCAUGUCCCGGCGCCGGGCUCGGGGGUGUCCUUCCACAUCCAGAUCGGGCUGACCCGCGAGUUCGUGCUGUUGCCCAUCGCCUCCGGGCUGGCCCGCGUGAAGCAGCUGGCUUGCUCCAUCGUUGACCAGAAGUUCCCCGAGUGUGGCUUCUAUGGCCUUUACGACAAGAUCCUGCUCUUCAAACAUGACCCCACGUCGGCCAACCUCCUGCAGUUGGUGCGCUCCGCCGGAGACAUCCAGGAGGGCGACCUGGUGGAGGUGGUACUGUCGGGUGAGAGGCCGAGACUACAUAUUGUAUCAUUCCACUUACGAGGCACAAAGACAAUUACGCUAUUUUGUUAGAAGCCAAGAGAGUGGGUACCUUUUUGGCAGCUGGAGUUGGGUGCGGGGGGCGCAGUGGUUUAAACUUCCAUUUAUCCAUCAGUAUGCUGGUGACAUGGGCGUGUACAGUUUGACAAUUCAUUGAGCUGUGCAUUUCUGAUACGUCCUUUCCUAGACCUACGUGACACACUGAUGUAAAGUUAAAAAUGUUUUGCUGCCUGUGCCUCCUCCCAAUGAAAUGCUAAAUUAAAUCAGACUCUGCAGUGUGAGAUGAAACCCGGGUACCUGUAUUUUCAGCCAAAAUCUAGUCCACCCACUGGCCAUUCCCAUUUGAUGGAUGGGCAAGCUCUCAGCACUUAGAGGACUCUUUAGCCCUUGGUUCCUUCAGGAGGGUGGGGUAGGGGGGUGGGAGGUG
This is an RNA transcript of Physeter macrocephalus (sperm whale), 1636 nucleotides long. It is a transcript of the gene named serine/threonine-protein kinase D2-like, with no coding region annotated. The record is from RefSeq and is a predicted model, not a curated record. Lineage: Eukaryota; Metazoa; Chordata; Mammalia; Artiodactyla; Physeteridae. The transcript is spliced from 4 exons.